This 256-nucleotide ribosomal RNA is filed under the name uncultured bacterium. RNAcentral describes it as "partial 16S ribosomal RNA". It matches the Rfam family "Bacterial small subunit ribosomal RNA", at positions 524 to 776 of the family's 1533-position model. The record is from RNAcentral.
GACGUAGGUGGCGAACGUUAUCCGGAAUUAUUGGGCGUAAAGGGUGCGUAGGUGGCCUGACAAGUUAUCAGUGGCAAAUCGAGGCUCAACUUCGUGGAAACUGGUAAUACUGUUCGGCUUGAGUACAGGAGAGGUUAACGGAACUCUAUGUGGAGCGGUAAAAUGCACAGAUAUAUAGAAGAACAUCAACAAAGGCGAAGGCAGUUAACUAUUCUGUUACUGACGCUGAGGCACGAAAGCGUGGGGAGCAAAACGG